GGCUCAGAUUGAACGCUGGCGGCAUGCUUUACACAUGCAAGUCGAACGGUAACAGGUUAAGCUGACGAGUGGCGAACGGGUGAGUAAUGCAUCGGAACGUGCCCAGUCGUGGGGGAUAACGCAGCGAAAGCUGUGCUAAUACCGCAUACGAUCUAUGGAUGAAAGCGGGGGAUCGCAAGACCUCGCGCGAUUGGAGCGGCCGAUGUCAGAUUAGCUAGUUGGUGGGGUAAAGGCCCACCAAGGCGACGAUCUGUAGCUGGUCUGAGAGGACGACCAGCCACACUGGGACUGAGACACGGUCCAGACUCCUACGGGAGGCAGCAGUGGGGAAUUUUGGACAAUGGACGCAAGUCUGAUCCAGCCAUUCCGCGUGCAGGAUGAAGGCCCUCGGGUUGUAAACUGCUUUUGUACGGAACGAAAAGGCUCUGGUUAAUACCUGGGGCUCAUGACGGUACCGUAAGAAUAAGCACCGGCUAACUACGUG
Molecule: ribosomal RNA, 484 nt
Filed under: uncultured bacterium
Lineage: Bacteria
Description: bacterial SSU rRNA
Rfam family: Bacterial small subunit ribosomal RNA
Source: RNAcentral